UUACGGCCACAUCACGUUGAAACACGGGUUCCUGUACAAUCACCAAAGUUAAGCAACGUCGACCCUGAUAAGUACUUAGAUGGGUGACCGCUUGAGAAUACCAGUUGUU
Non-coding RNA from Acanthosepion pharaonis, 109 nucleotides. The record is from the annotation of a GenBank genome assembly. Lineage: Eukaryota; Metazoa; Mollusca; Cephalopoda; Sepiida; Sepiidae.